AGGGGGACGAACAGUUGGAAACGACUGCUAAUACCACAUACGAUCUAAUCUCGGCAUCGAGGAUAGAUGAAAGGUGGCCUCUACAUGUAAGCUAUCACUGAAGGAGGGGAUUGCGUCUGAUUAGCUAGUUGGAGGGGUAACGGCCCACCAAGGCGAUGAUCAGUAGCCGGUCUGAGAGGAUGAACGGCCACAUUGGGACUGAGACACGGCCCAGACUCCUACGGGAGGCAGCAUG
This 235-nucleotide ribosomal RNA is filed under the name uncultured bacterium. RNAcentral describes it as "partial 16S ribosomal RNA". It matches the Rfam family "Bacterial small subunit ribosomal RNA", at positions 135 to 353 of the family's 1533-position model. The record is from RNAcentral.